Molecule: ribosomal RNA, 250 nt
Filed under: uncultured soil bacterium
Lineage: Bacteria
Description: partial 16S ribosomal RNA
Rfam family: Bacterial small subunit ribosomal RNA
Source: RNAcentral
AGAUUGAACGCUGGCGGCAUGCCUUACACAUGCAAGUCGAACGGCAGCACGGGAGCAAUCCUGGUGGCGAGUGGCGAACGGGUGAGUAAUAUAUCGGAACGUGCCCAGUCGUGGGGGAUAACGCAGCGAAAGCUGUGCUAAUACCGCAUACGAUCUAUGGAUGAAAGCGGGGAUCGCAAGACCUCGCGCGAUUGGAGCGGCCGAUAUCAGAUUAGCUAGGUUGGUAGGGGUAAAAGCCUAACCGAAGGCG